AGAGUUUGAUCAUGGCUCAGAUUGAACGCUGGCGGCAUGCCUUACACAUGCAAGUCGAACGGCAGCAUGAUCUAGCUUGCUAGAUUGAUGGCGAGUGGCGAACGGGUGAGUAAUACAUCGGAACGUGCCCUGUAGUGGGGGAUAACUAGUCGAAAGAUUAGCUAAUACCGCAUACGACCUGAGGGUGAAAGUGGGGGACCGCAAGGCCUCAUGCUAUAGGAGCGGCCGAUGUCUGAUUAGCUAGUUGGUGAGGUAAAGGCUCACCAAGGCGACGAUCAGUAGCUGGUCUGAGAGGACGAUCAGCCACACUGGGACUGAGACACGGCCCAGACUCCUACGGGAGGCAGCAGUGGGGAAUUUUGGACAAUGGGCGAAAGCCUGAUCCAGCAAUGCCGCGUGUGUGAAGAAGGCCUUCGGGUUGUAAAGCACUUUUGUCCGGAAAGAAAUGGCUCUGGUUAAUACCUGGGGUCGAUGACGGUACCGGAAGAAUAAGGACCGGCUAACUACGUGCCAGCAGCCGCGGUAAUACGUAGGGUCCAAGCGUUAAUCGGAAUUACUGGGCGUAAAGCGUGCGCAGGCGGUUGUGCAAGACCGAUGUGAAAUCCCCGAGCUUAACUUGGGAAUUGCAUUGGUGACUGCACGGCUAGAGUGUGUCAGAGGGGGGUAGAAUUCCACGUGUAGCAGUGAAAUGCGUAGAGAUGUGGAGGAAUACCGAUGGCGAAGGCAGCCCCCUGGGAUAACACUGACGCUCAUGCACGAAAGCGUGGGGAGCAAACAGGAUUAGAUACCCUGUAGUCCACGCCCUAAACGAUGUCAACUAGUUGUUGGGGAUUCAUUUCCUUAGUAACGUAGCUAACGCGUGAAGUUGACCGCCUGGGGAGUACGGUCGCAAGAUUAAAACUCAAGGAAUUGACGG
This 916-nucleotide ribosomal RNA is filed under the name uncultured bacterium. RNAcentral describes it as "bacterial SSU rRNA". It matches the Rfam family "Bacterial small subunit ribosomal RNA", at positions 8 to 916 of the family's 1533-position model. The record is from RNAcentral.